Thalassophryne amazonica is the source of this 202-nucleotide long non-coding RNA. RefSeq lists it as uncharacterized. The record is from RefSeq and is a predicted model, not a curated record. NCBI's taxonomy places the organism in Eukaryota, Metazoa, Chordata, Actinopteri, Batrachoidiformes, Batrachoididae. The transcript is spliced from 2 exons.
UCGAUUCCCACCUGUGGCCUUUCUGUGUGGAGUUUGCAUGUUCUCCCAGUGUGUGUGUAGGUUUCCUCCGGGUGCUCCAGUUUCCUCCCACAUUUAAAGACAUGCAGGUUAGAUGAAUUGGAAACUUUAUAAUUGUCCAGGUCUCCCUUGCAAAAGAGGUCUCAAACUCAAUGGGACUAUCCUGGUUAAAUAGAGAUAUAUU